This 266-nucleotide signal recognition particle RNA is filed under the name Phaeosphaeriaceae sp. SRC1lsM3a. Its description in RNAcentral is "Stagonospora sp. SRC1lsM3a Fungal signal recognition particle RNA". It matches the Rfam family "Fungal signal recognition particle RNA". The record is from Rfam by way of RNAcentral. Lineage: Eukaryota; Fungi; Ascomycota; Dothideomycetes; Pleosporales; Phaeosphaeriaceae.
UACCUGUAAUGGGUCUUCACCAGAAGGUGCACCGUCAUCCCGCUCCACCUCCCUGUCACCACCUUUGCAGGAGCCCAGUUCGAGUCCUGUGGUGUCCUUUUAUCCACUCACGUAGGUAACUCGUGAUGCUGGAGGGACCUAAGCAAUGAAUGCAAUUCGAUGAGGGAAGAAAUUCUGCAAUCGGGCAUUCACCAUGGGACGGCGGCGCUGGAUUACUCCCACGAGGGUUGGGGGGCGGAGAGGGGCUGGUCGUAUCGACUGGUAUU